This is a long non-coding RNA of Mytilus californianus (California mussel), 1460 nucleotides long. RefSeq lists it as uncharacterized. Lineage: Eukaryota; Metazoa; Mollusca; Bivalvia; Mytilida; Mytilidae. The transcript has 2 exons. The record is from RefSeq and is a predicted model, not a curated record.
UUUGUUUUCUCUCAAUCGAUUUAUGACUUUUGAACACCGGUAUACCACUGUUGCCUUUAUUUGUUGAGGAGAAUUACAACUAGUACGUACUAACGAGCAGUAUGUUUCAAAUUUCCGUUAUUUUUGUCAGCAUUUUGUUGUUGACUGAUUGUAAAACCAUUGGUAAUGAUACAGAAGCCAGUGACAUUUCAGACCUUGUAAAACAAGUUGAAGAUUUAGAAAAUAAAUUGAUAAAUUUAAGCGAUAACCUUACAAAAGACCAAGUUUUGCUUUACGUCACAUUAUCAGAGAGCAUGAAAGAUGUGAGCAAUGAAGUGACUGUUAUUUUUGACAGACCCCAGAUAAAUCCCGGAACUCAUUAUAAUCAGAAUGAUGGAAUAUACAUUGCACCUUUCUCUGGACAAGUCAUGGUUUUCUGGACAAUUGGCACUAAUGAGACUGCAAGAACGGAACUCCUGGUUGAAGAUAGAGUUGUCGGUACUUUGAUAACUACUGCAAGUUCUGUGACCACCCAAAACAGAUACGGUAGUUCCAAUACAGUGAAAGAAUCCUCAUCUUCCACCGUGGCUGUUACUGAUGUUCAAAAGGGAAACCACAUAUUUCUGAGAACUGCAUCAGAUGAUAACCACAUUAUCAAAACUGUUUCAUCUUUACUGAUAAGACGUACGCUUUAAGUUAAAAAAAAAUGAGUCAUACUUUUUGCAUUUACGUUGGAGCAAUUGGUAUAACAAUUUGGCUUCAAACCAAUUUCAUCCUCAAACGUUUGAACUAUUCUUUCGAUGAGAUUUUAUUGAAAUGUUUUUAUGUCCAUUUUUGCUUGCUUUUCUUUCUACACCUACUGUAGACGGCUUAUCAUAGUGUUAAGUUCAAAACCUAGUUAGUAGUUUUUAAAAACGUAGACCAAAAAAAAGCAUUCAGAGGUCAACAUUGAUUAAAUGAUGUCGCUAACGUAUCACGUUUUUUUUGCAACCUCAACCUGUGACAUAUGAGGAAUGCAUUUUUCGACUGAUUUUAAUAAUUAGCUUAAAAACGCUUUUUUUCUAGUAUCAUGACAGUCUAAUAAAAAUGUAUUCUUUUCAAUGAAUUGCUGAACAAAUCUAGAGUCUACCUAUGUGAAUAAGAUAUUCUAAAUGCAUUUACAUAAAUCUGCUUGUGUUUAUCUUUUGAAACAAUAAAGUUAGGUAUGUCUGUCCAAAAGAUAAAAAUGUCCAAGAAACAGAAACUUUGUAAAUUUCGACCCAAUUAUCUCUAAAAGAAAGCACAUGAGAAUAUAUUUUUUUAUAUAGAUUUUAAUUGACAAGAGGAAAAAUAGCUUGUAUGGACAUUUUCGUCAAAAAUCACCGUGCAAUCCUAACUGUGUUGUAUGCGCUUAAUCAACAUGUCAUUACCUACAAUAUUUUUUAAAUACUUCUGUCAACUUUGUAUUGUCACUUGUUUUUAAUUAAAUAUAUUUUUAUUUC